This is a long non-coding RNA of Oryctolagus cuniculus (rabbit), 4887 nucleotides long. RefSeq lists it as uncharacterized. The record is from RefSeq and is a predicted model, not a curated record. NCBI's taxonomy places the organism in Eukaryota, Metazoa, Chordata, Mammalia, Lagomorpha, Leporidae.
AGAUUUAUGUAUUUGACAGGCAGAGUUAUGGAGAGAGGGAGAGACAGGUCUUCCAUUUGCUGGUUCACUCCCCAGAUAGCCGCAAUGGCUGGAGCUGCACUGAUCUGGAGCCAGGAGCUUCUUCUGGGUCUCCCACGUGGAUGCAGGGGCCCAAGAACUUGGGCCAUCUUCUGCUUUCCCAGGCCUUAGCAGAGAGCUGGAUAGGAAAAGGAACAGCUGGGUCUUGAACCGGAGCCCAUAUGGGAUGCUGGCACUUCAGGCUGGGGCUUUCACCUGCUGCGCCACAGUGUUGGCCCUAAAGUCUUUAAAUGAACACCAGAUUGCACACUUUGGGAGCUAGGUGAGUGCAGUCACCUUACUGUCGGGCUGGCGUUUUCUUCAGGAACCCAGGAACCCUGAGUAGUGCCCUGCUAUCCCUUCACCCCCAGCACGAGGCCCCCAGAGCCAGACACAGAGCAGAGGAGAGGAGAGGGACUGCCCCCUCGUACUUCCGCCUCCUUUCCUUGUCCCUGAGGGACACUGCCUGCUCGUGGAAGUCCGCAACACAACACCCGUCCUGCCCGCUGACCACCAGCCACGGCCACAGUGUUUCCACACAGAAACCACCGCUGCUGCUCCCGGUGGGAGCCAGAGGCCAGCCGGGAGCUUCCCCCUUCUCCUUGUCUUUGUCUUGAAUUUCCCUUCCCCCUUCAGUCUGCCGCAGCCCUCGUCUCGGCGUGUUUUGGUUUUCCCUGCUGCCGUCAUGUACACCUUCGCCCGCUCUUCCUGACAGCAGCAGCUGUAGUAAACAUGCCCGGCCCGGCCCUACAGGUUGGGCCAGGUGUUUGUCACAUUAAACCACAUUAUUCUUCUGUUCUUCAUUGCCUGACACACUACAGAAAAAUUAUUCCCAACCUGUGGACUGUCCACGAUGGGCCCAAGUUAGCGUUGCAAAAUCACUUUUAAUCAGAAAUUUUAAAUUCCUCUUAGUUUUUUGUUUUGUUUUGUUUUUGCCACUUUAGGGGAGGAGAAAGAUGCAAUGAUUCAAGUAAAGUGGUUACUCUCUUAAGCAUACUAAUGUUCAGGGCUGUGCUGUGUUAGAACACAGUCAUCACGUGGCUCUAGAAUCUUCCUGUCAAAAUCACAUGACAACACAGCCUCAGUCAUCGUUUCUUUCCAGAGCCUCUGAAACCCUACUGUGCGUCGUGACUCUCCAAGAGGAGACUGCCUCCAGGCUUGCCACCACGGAACCCUCUCUGCCCUGAGGAUCUUCGGGAAAGGAGACUGACUGUGGAACCCUCUGGAAAGCACCCUGCAGCGGGCCUGGCACCCAGCAGCAAACACUGAAGGAAUGUCUGAAUGCCAUGAAAACAGUUACAGUAUCCCUUUAGUCAAGUCACCAGUAUGCUGUUUAUUUUUACACUUAGCUUACGUUUAUACACACACACAACAUAUUGGUGUUUUGACUAGAGUUGCAGUGGAUAUGUGGAUCAGUUUGUAAUUUGACAUCUUUCAAAAUUUUCAGUCCACAAAUACAAGCUUUUUUAAAGAAGUUUUUUAGGUAUUUCAUCUUGUGUAGUGAUUUCUCAUCUUACCUUUUUAAACAAACAAACAAAAAAGAUUUAUUUAUUUGAAAGGCAUAUCAACAGAGGCAGAUCUUCCAUCUGCUGGUUCACUCCCCAAAUGACCUCAACAGCCAGCUCCAGGCCAGGUAGAAGCCUGAAGGCGGGACUCCACCCAGGUCUCCCGCUGGGAGGCAGGGGCUCAAGUACUUGAGUAUGGUGCUGAUGUAGGACACAAAGCUGGAUGCCAGGGAGCAGAUCAAGAAACAAGACUUGGCUCAAGGCCUGUCACUGGCUGGCAGAUUAUCCUUUUGUUUUGCAAAUGAAUGUGCCUCUGAGGGUUCCUGAGCAUUUUAUUCAAGCCUCCUCUUUGGAUGAGUCUUCACUGAUUAAAAAAUCUUCAAACCAAAGAAAUAGCUACACCUUUUAAUGCCUUAACUUGUACUUCCAAAGUCUAGAUAAACAUGUUUUGGUGUGGCCACGGAGGAGAGCCUCUGUCAUCCCUAGGAAUACAGUAGGAUUUUGAACAAAUGUUUCCUUGUGCGGAAAGGCUGAGCUCUCAUCAGCCCUCUGGAUUCGUGCCUAUACAAAGCAGGUAUAAUUGGAGCAGAGGUAAGCCUGAAAAUCAUGACAAUCUCAGACUCACCAGCUCAGCACAAAAUGUUGGCUUCCUGACAGUUUACAAAAACACACCGAUCACCUUGUGAUAACAUCAAGCUGAAGAGGGUGUGAACACCGUGGUUUUCAAUAGUUUGUCUGACCUGGUUUUUAUAACCAGGAGACAAUAAUUUUGUAGAAAUUGUUAAUGAUUCAACUCUUAAAAAAAAACUUAUUUAUAUGAAAGGCAGAAUUAGAGGGAGAGAGCUUCCAUCUGCUAGUACAAUCCCCAAAUGGUUGCAAUAGCCCAGGUAGGGGCAGGCUACAAGCCAGGAACUCCUGGUUGUCCUGUGUUGGUGACAGAGCCCCAAGCGCUUGGGCCCUCUUCCUCUGCUUUCACAGGCAUCUUUGCAGGGAGCUAGAUCAUAAGUGGAACAGCCAGGACUUGAACUGGUGCCCAUAUAUGGGAUGCCGUGUUACAGGCAAUGGUUUAACCUGGUAUCCCACAAUGCCAACCCCAACGAUUCAACUCUUAAAAGUUUGUACUACUUACAGUUAUAAAUUUUGAAUCCUUAGAAUUGAAUAUCUAAAAUCAGUAGCCUGAAUAGUUUUUGGUUAUUUGUUUUCAAACUAAUUUCAGCUCAUUCAACCAACUACUGUUUGAGUAUCUCGUGUGUACCCAGUGCCACCAGGUUUUGUGCCAAGCACUAGGGGUAUUGUUUGGAAGCAAAAGCACAGGGUUAUCUGCUCUCUUGGAUGCUACUGCAAGGAACACGAGCCAAACAGAUGCGUCAGCCAUGGCAAGUGCUGUCAGGCAGAUACCGAGUGCCUAAGUGCGCCGGGGCAGCCUUGGUCAGGGUCAUGGAAGGCUCUUGAGCAGAAGUCAAGCUGGACCUGAGAGGUGGGCGAUGAGCUGCGUGGACAGAAGGCCAGUGCAGCUGGAGCACAGAGAGCGGAGGGAGGCAGAGGCCAGCUCUGGGCUGCUUAGAACAUCUUCGGUGACUUAGGCCUGCUGCUGGGAAAACACGAAAUGAUUAAUUUUUGAGGAAGUGAGGAGACUGGCUUGCUAUUUAGCCUAAUGAUUGGGAGACAUACUUUUUGGAAAAAAAAUUAAUAUAUUCAAAGUUUAAUUCCUAUUUUUCCUUUCUGGACUAUAUAUAAAAUAAUGAUAUAGUUGAUAGCAUUUUAGAGCUGCUGAAACACGGUGAUCAGGUUUGCAGUUGAAGAUCACGUUGGAUGUAAUAUAAAGAACAGAUUUUUAUCUGCAUGGAUCAAGGUAUUUAUAUGACUUAACAAAAUGCAGAAACUGCUGAUGCUGAGUAACACUGAUACUGAUUUUCAUCUAUAUUAUAGUGCUCAAUUUCAAAAUUUUCUAUCAGAUUGUUCUCUAACUUUAUCAUAGCUAAAUACUAUCAAUCGAAAUUUAUAAAAAGUCUAUCUUCACUAAAUACCCCCUUUUAUUCAGUAGAUAAGCUUAAAUUGGUAUAGAUCAAUAUAGAUGAAAAAUCUGUAUAGACUUGCCCUUUAAAGGGAAAAUUCUGCUUUGGGAAACUAAACAUUUGAAAACUACUAGUCUAGGUAGUAGGAAUCCAUAAGGGCUAUUUGUGCAGGAGAAUAGAAUGAUGGAAGCUUUAGAAUAGAACGGUGACUCUGGCCACAGCCACGUGGAAGAUAAAAAGGAGAGGGAAAAGGUGCUGUGAGAACAAGCGAGGAGAGGUAGGCUUGCUCUCUCUCCCCCAAGAAAUAGAAAGCUUUCUACUUCCUAAAAAUAGAAGGGUUAUAUGAAAUAACACAUAUCUCUUCCUAACACAUCUCUUUCCUGUUAAAGCUGUAUUACAAUGUCUCUUCAGCACUUUUAGCCAAGAACUCCAUGUAGGUCUCCCAAAUGGGUGGCAGUGACCUAAGUACUUGAGACAUCACCUGCUGCCUCCCAGUCUGUACACUGGCAGAAAGCUGGAUUGAAAGUGGAACAGCCUGGACCCACCAGCACUCUGAUUUGGGAUGUGGGAGUCCCAAGUAGAGCUUAACUUGUUAUGCCACAAUAACCAGCCUGGCCACCCUUCUUGUAAGAGAUAAUCUUGGAUAAUGAAUACGUGGAAGAGUAAGGAGGAGCUAGAGGCAGCCACUGAUACAGAAUUUGACAUAAAACAGUAUGAAUGUAGAAACAACUCUUUCCUGUUGGAUGCCAGUCUAUUCUGUUUUAAAAAUGCUGAAUAGGGGGCCAGUGUUAUGGCGUAGCAGCUAAAGCCACUGCCUGUGAUGAUGGUACCCCAUAUGGGUACCAGUUCCUGUCUCGGCUGCUCCACUGCUAAUCCAGCUCCCUGCUGAUGGCCUGGGGAAAGAAGCGGAAGAUGGCUCAAGUGUUUAGGCCCUUGCUACCACAUGGGAGACCCAGAUGAAGAUCCUGGCCCCUGCUUUUGGCCUAGUUCAGCCCUGGCUAUUGCAGCCAUCUGGGGAGUAAACCAGCAGAUGGAAGAUCUCUCUCCUCUCUCUCUGUUUCUCCCUCUCUCACUAUAUAACUCUUUCAAACAAGUAAAUAUUUUUUAAAAUGGAAAUAAAUAAAAAUGGUGGCCAUCUUGGCCAUUACCAUGACUCUACCCAAGACACUAGAGAAACUAAGAGGCAGUUGGUCACAUUUUUUAAUGCUUUUGCAUUUUGUCUACUUUAUCAAAUUUAUUUUUCUCAGUUGGCCUUGUUUAAGCUGUGACUAAAGAAUCCUUUUAAAUAAAUGAAAUAUUAUUCCUAAGUA